Molecule: long non-coding RNA, 762 nt
Filed under: Nicotiana tabacum (common tobacco)
Lineage: Eukaryota; Viridiplantae; Streptophyta; Magnoliopsida; Solanales; Solanaceae
Description: long non-coding RNA (NTAB_LNC001631)
Source: RNAcentral
AGGCCACAGCUGCAGCAAACAGCUUUAUCUAUAAUCUCAUUACCAUCAUCUUUCUCUUCUUGCUUCCCUUUCAUAGUAAUGAUUCCACUCUGAUGCUUCUUCUUCCUUUUCUCUUUUUUCCUCUGUAUCAUUUACUACACUUUUUCCAAGAAAACCAAAAAGCAAACAAAUUCUUUUUUUAUUUUCUUCUUCUUUCUGUGUAUGUGUUAAAAUCUGUAGCUCUUCAGAAUAGGUGCAGAAAGUUUUGUUGCUUCAGAUCCCAAUAUAUAUGCCAUCUUUUUCUCUCUCUCUAUCUCUUGAACCAAUAGUAACAAAACUGUCUGCUUUAUGAUUUUGCUCAUAUUUUCUUUCAUCAUAUUUCUCUGAAACCAAACAGUCCAAAAGUAUACAUCAUCAUAUCAUAUUAUCACUGUCUAUUAUCAAGUACAUCAAGAUUCUCUUCAGUGGUGGUCCUAAAAACCCCAAUAUUUCUUUCUUUUUUUGCUUUUUCACACAACCCCUUUGUUUAUAUGUUGUAAAGAGAGGAUCUUUGGUUAUUUUAGAAAUGCAAGAACAAGGAGUUGGAUUAAUGGGGUCAAGUAGUGGUGGAGGAAUUGGUGGUUUAGGAGCUUUAGGUGAUGUUUCAAUGGUGAUUUCUGAGGAUAAUCAGAGACAGUUAAAGGGUGAAAUUGCUACACAUCCUUUAUAUGAACAGUUACUUUCAGCACAUGUAGCUUGUCUUCGUGUAGCUACACCUAUUGAUCAGUUACCACUUAUUGAAGC